UGGUGGAGCGAUUUGUCUGGUUAAUUCCGAUAACGAACGAGACUCUAACCUGCUAAAUAGUACGCCGAUCUCUUGUCGGCGCGUACUUCUUAGAGGGACAAGUGGCGGUUAGCCACACGAAAUUGAGCAAUAACA
RNAcentral lists this ribosomal RNA (135 nucleotides) under uncultured eukaryote. RNAcentral's name for it is "partial 18S ribosomal RNA". It matches the Rfam family "Eukaryotic small subunit ribosomal RNA", at positions 1299 to 1458 of the family's 1831-position model. The record is from RNAcentral.